UUAACUAAUUUUAAAGUUAGACUCUUCCUGAAAAGCACCGUUUCAGUAAAUGAGGAUAAAAUAAAUAAAAAAAUAAUAAAUAAAAAAAAUAAAGAAAGAGAGAAACUCGGUUUGUUUGAGAAGGAAGGAGCAUGUGGGUAAAAUACCCUAUUCUUCUCUAUUGUUGAAAACAGAAAGUGGGACUCCAUCCUCUGUUCCUCAACUUCUCAUUCCAGCACCUUCCUCCCUCUUUGAUUUCACUCUCCAUUUUCGUUCCAUCAUCUUUUCACUCUUCACUCAAGCUUUUAUUUCACUGUAUUUGGAACUUUGAAAGUGGGUAUUUGAGACUCUUCUCAUCUCUUGGGUAGUGCUAUUUAGAGAUUCAUUGAGAUUCACGGGGUGACGAUUCUCUUGGUCCAACGGAGGGCACGGGAAGAGAUUGAGCUAGCUCUUCAUAGUUAUUCACAAGCAGCUGAGUAACAGAUUUCUGGGCUUUGCUGUUGUUUUGGUAUGCCUCCAUUGUGCGGUGGCUAGUAUAUUCUUUUUGGUCGACUCCAGUAUGAUGCAGCCAUAGGGAUAGAGAGUCGUUUACUUACUUUGAGUUGUAAUUAUUAAACUCACUAUGUUAGCACUUUGUUGGGUUUGCACUCUUAAAACCCUAUGACAGAAGCACUAUGUUGAAGGGUUUGUGGCGGCUAAAGAGCAAGUAAGUGUCGUCGAUCCUGACUUUGACCUUUCACGAAUUGGAUUUCUGAAGAAGAUUCAAGAUGGCCAAGUUAUUGGCCAUGAUGACAUCGAUCUUGACCUUCUUCCAAAGUUUGAUUCUGAGAGCGAGUUAGGAAGACGAUGAGGAUGGUGAUGAUGAUGGGCGGGAUCCCAAUGCAUCUUUGAACAAGGAGACGGCCAAUGAUGACCAGACCCCUGCCUGAUUUAUUUUUGUGAAAUGUCUUUUGGUAAUUGGGCCCUGCCCGUCCUUGAACGGACCUUUAUUUUCAUCAUAGUAGAUCCUAAAUCAUACAACUAA
Lotus japonicus is the source of this 1003-nucleotide long non-coding RNA. RefSeq lists it as uncharacterized. The transcript has 3 exons. The record is from RefSeq and is a predicted model, not a curated record. NCBI's taxonomy places the organism in Eukaryota, Viridiplantae, Streptophyta, Magnoliopsida, Fabales, Fabaceae.